AGAGUUUGAUCCUGGCUCAGGAUGAACUUUGGCGGCGUGCUUAACACAUGCAAGUCGAACAGAGUCAUCAUUUUUGAAGCGAUUAGCUUGCUAAGAGUGGAAAAGUUGAUAACUUAGUGGCGGACGGGUGAGUAACGCGUGGGUAACCUGCCUUACACAGGGGGAUAACACUUAGAAAUAGGUGCUAAUACCGCAUAAGCGCACAGUCCCGCAUGGGACAGAGUGAAAAACAUUAGUGGUGUAAGAUGGACCCGCGUCUGAUUAGCUUGUUGGCGGGGUAACGGCCCACCAAGGCGACGAUCAGUAGCCGGCCUGAGAGGGUGGACGGCCACAUUGGGACUGAGACACGGCCCAAACUCCUACGGGAGGCAGCAGUGGGGGAUAUUGGACAAUGGGGGAAACCCUGAUCCAGCGACGCCGCGUGAGUGAAGAAGUAUUUCGGUAUGUAAAGCUCUAUCAGCAGGGAAGAAAGAAAUGACGGUACCUGAGUAAGAAGCCCCGGCUAACUACGUGCCAGCAGCCGCGGUAAUACGUAGGGGGCAAGCGUUAUCCGGAAUUACUGGGUGUAAAGGGAGCGUAGACGGUAAUGCAAGUCUGGAGUGAAAGGCGGGGGCCCAACCCCCGGACUGCUCUGGAAACUGUGUAACUGGAGUGCAGGAGAGGCAGGCGGAAUUCCUAGUGUAGCGGUGAAAUGCGUAGAUAUUAGGAGGAACACCAGUGGCGAAGGCGGCCUGCUGGACUGUAACUGACGUUGAGGCUCGAAAGCGUGGGGAGCAAACAGGAAUAGAUACCCUGGUAGUCCACGCCGUAAACGAUGAUUCCAAAGUGUGGGUGGGUAUGGACCCCAUCGGUGCCGCCAGCAAACGCAGUAAUUAUCCACCUGGGGAGUACGUUCGCAAGAAUGAAACUCAAAGGAAUUGACGGGGACCCGCACAAGCGGUGGAGCAUGUGGUUUAAUCCGAAGCAACGCGAAGAACCUUACCAAGUCUUGACAUCCUCCUGAAUAAAGGGUAACGCCUUUAGGCCUUCGGGACAGGAGAGACAGGUGGUGCAUGGUUGUCGUCAGCUCGUGUCGUGAGAUGUUGGGUUAAGUCCCGCAACGAGCGCAACCCCUAUCUUUAGUAGCCAGCAGGCAAGGCUGGGCACUCUAGAGAGACUGCCGGGGAUAACCCGGAGGAAGGUGGGGAUGACGUCAAAUCAUCAUGCCCCUUAUGAUUUGGGCUACACACGUGCUACAAUGGCGUAAACAGAGGGAAGCGAGCCCGCGAGGGGGAGCAAAUCCCAAAAAUAACGUCCCAGUUCGGAUUGUAGUCUGCAACCCGACUACAUGAAGCUGGAAUCGCUAGUAAUCGCGGAUCAGAAUGCCGCGGUGAAUACGUUCCCGGGUCUUGCACACACCGCCCGUCA
RNAcentral lists this ribosomal RNA (1407 nucleotides) under uncultured bacterium. RNAcentral describes it as "bacterial SSU rRNA". It matches the Rfam family "Bacterial small subunit ribosomal RNA". The record is from RNAcentral.